This 468-nucleotide ribosomal RNA is filed under the name uncultured bacterium. RNAcentral describes it as "partial 16S ribosomal RNA". It matches the Rfam family "Bacterial small subunit ribosomal RNA", at positions 28 to 507 of the family's 1533-position model. The record is from RNAcentral.
GACGAACGCUGGCGGCGUGCUUAACACAUGCAAGUCGAACGGAAAGGCCCUGCUUUUGUGGGGUGCUCGAGUGGCGAACGGGUGAGUAACACGUGAGUAACCUGCCCUUGACUUUGGGAUAACUUCAGGAAACUGGGGCUAAUACCGGAUAGGAGCUCCUGCUGCAUGGUGGGGGUUGGAAAGUUUCGGCGGUUGGGGAUGGACUCGCGCCUUAUCAGCUUGUUGGUGGGGUAGUGGCUUACCAAGGCUUUGACGGGUAGCCGGCCUGAGAGGGUGACCGGCCAAAUUGGGACUGGGAUGAGGCCCAGACUCCUACGGGAGGCAGCAGUGGGGAAUAUUGCACAAUGGGCGGAAGCCUGAUGCAGCAACGCCGCGUGCGGGAUGACGGCCUUCGGGUUGUAAACCGCUUUCGCCUGUGACGAAGCGUGAGUGACGGUAAUGGGUAAAGAAGCACCGGCUAACUACGUG